GACGAACGCUGGCGGCGUGCUUAACACAUGCAAGUCGAACGGAAAGGCCCUUCUUUUGUUGGUUGCUCGAGUGGCGAACGGGUGAGUCACACGUGAGUAACCUUCCCUUUACUUUGGGCUAACUUCAGGUAACUGGGGCUCAUACCGGAUAUCAGCUCCUGCUGCAUGGUGGGGGUUGGCUAGUUUCGGCGGUUGGGGAUGGACUCGCGGCUUAUCAGCUUGUUGGUGGGUUAGUGGCUUACCAAGGCUUUGACGGGUAGCCGGCCUGAGAGGGUGACCGGCCACAUUGGGACUGAGAUACGGCCCAGACUCCUACGGGAGGAAGAAGGGGGGAAUAUUGAACAAGGGGCGGAGGCCUGAUGCAGCAAGGCGGCGGGCGGGAUGACGGCCUUCGGGUUGUAAACCGCUUUAGCCGGUGACGAAGCGUGAGUGACGGUAAUGGGUAAAGAAGCACCGGCUAACUACGUG
Molecule: ribosomal RNA, 468 nt
Filed under: uncultured bacterium
Lineage: Bacteria
Description: partial 16S ribosomal RNA
Rfam family: Bacterial small subunit ribosomal RNA
Source: RNAcentral